CAGCAAGAGUGGAGAAAGUGCGGAAAGAAGCAACAGCCGCUCCACCCGCGGGCGGAAAAGUGGCCGGGCGCGGCGGCGGGAUGCGGCGCGGCUAACGGUCCCCGGCGGCCGCGGAGCCGCUAGGCGCAGAGGCAGGACAUGAAGACACUAGACACUCUCAGGGAUGGAGCAAUGGGCAAUGUGUGUGCUUACAUCUCUAAGGAGAGCUGAGUUUAGAAAACAAAGCAAUCCAGAAUCACUCUACAGCCAUUGGAUGAGGACUCUCUGGCUUCUAGCUACUCCCUUCCAUCCUUUUGACACAUCAGAAUAAACUCCACUGCAUAAUACAAGCUUACCAAUAGCAAGAAGAAAGGAGCUAAUGGAAGUCCAGUGAAGGUGAACACUCCUCCAUUGCUGUU
Arvicanthis niloticus (Nile rat) is the source of this 398-nucleotide non-coding RNA. The record is from RefSeq and is a predicted model, not a curated record. NCBI's taxonomy places the organism in Eukaryota, Metazoa, Chordata, Mammalia, Rodentia, Muridae.